UGUGCUUGGGUUCUUAGUGCUAUC
RNAcentral lists this non-coding RNA (24 nucleotides) under Rattus norvegicus (Norway rat). The record is from RNAcentral. Lineage: Eukaryota; Metazoa; Chordata; Mammalia; Rodentia; Muridae.